GAUGAACGCUGGCGGCGUGCCUAAUACAUGCAAGUCGAGCGAACGGACGAGAAGCUUGCUUCUCUGAUGUUAGCGGCGGACGGGUGAGUAACACGUGGAUAACCUACCUAUAAGACUGGGAUAACUUCGGGAAACCGGAGCUAAUACCGGAUAAUAUUUUGAACCGCAUGGUUCAAAAGUGAAAGACGGUCUUGCUGUCACUUAUAGAUGGAUCCGCGCUGCAUUAGCUAGUUGGUAAGGUAACGGCUUACCAAGGCAACGAUGCAUAGCCGACCUGAGAGGAUGAUCGGCCACACUGGAACUGAGACACGGUCCAGACUCCUACGGGAGGCAGCAGUAGGGAAUCUUCCGCAAUGGGCGAAAGCCUGACGGAGCAACGCCGCGUGAGUGAUGAAGGUCUUCGGAUCGUAAAACUCUGUUAUUAGGGAAGAACAUAUGUGUAAGUAACUGUGCACAUCUUGACGGUACCUAAUCAGAAAGCCCCGGCUAACUACGUG
RNAcentral lists this ribosomal RNA (497 nucleotides) under uncultured bacterium. RNAcentral's name for it is "partial 16S ribosomal RNA". It matches the Rfam family "Bacterial small subunit ribosomal RNA", at positions 28 to 507 of the family's 1533-position model. The record is from RNAcentral.